Long non-coding RNA from Melospiza melodia melodia, 3160 nucleotides. RefSeq lists it as uncharacterized. The record is from RefSeq and is a predicted model, not a curated record. NCBI's taxonomy places the organism in Eukaryota, Metazoa, Chordata, Aves, Passeriformes, Passerellidae. The transcript is spliced from 3 exons.
UGUGCAGGAUCUUUUCCUGUGGGACUGCAGAUGUUCACAGAAGUACAAAGGAAGACUUAUUGCUCUGGUAGGGAGCAAAGUCAUUUUGGGAACCAUCUACAGAUAAUGACAACAAAGACUCACUAACUCUGUGCGUUAAUCACUUGAUGAGCUUCAGGUUGGCAAAGCUGAAAGCAUCCCAAUUUAAGAUCAACUCUGUUUUCAGAGACAAUAAAUUCAUGCUCCAGCUACAAAGACUUUCAGAAGUGAGAACACUUGGUAUCCUGCUGUGUGAGCAGCAUAUUGGCAGAAUAAAGAUUUCCCAUCAAAACUGAAGACCCAAACAUACAGAGGAGUAGCUGAAAUCCUCAACUCCUGUGCUAGACCUAUUUGCUCUCCAAAAAAUUACCAUGUCUUUUAUGGAAGUGUUUCGUUGUCAUGGAGUCUCUGGUUCUGACAGAAAAGUUGUUCAUGAAUUUGUCUUGAGCAGUUAAAAGGCUCCGGAAAACACACCUGGGAGCAUUAGUGACCCUCCACUGCUGCUGCUGUAGCAUCACAUCUUCAAACUUCCAAAGAGCAGGACCAGAAGAAGGAAGAGCUUUCUAUUUUUCCCUUUUUUAUUACAUCAUACUCAGUCUGAUUCUUUCUUCUGAGAUUGAAAAGCUGCCAGUUUUCAAGUGUCCCUCAUUAACUUUUAAAACCUAAGCUCUGCUAAAGUGGAGUUAUUAGUUUUUUCCUGGCACUGCCUGAAAUUGCAGUACCCACAUAAGAGCACUAAAUCCUAAUAGCUACUCAAGGCAUAGCAGGAACCAGUGCCUAGUGUGAGAUGUGCCAAUAAAUAUUUGUACACAAGAGGUUCUAAGGGACAGGGAUUGGAGCUGCAGGUGGUUAUGGGCGCUUUUGGAAGGACAGUGGUCAAGCUGUCUCAAAGAAAAAUUACCUUUAAAAGUCAAAGUAUAAGAAAAUAUAUAGUAAAAAAUAACAUUUCUGUUAUUUAUGGACAUGCAGGUAUCUCAUAGAGAUACACAGGAUGAGUUUCAUGCUAAAGAGAGGCUGAAUUAAGGGGAUUCCAGGGAUGAGGGUUGGUAAGCACAGGGUUGGACAUGUCUUUAAGGUGAACCUAAAUAGCAACAUAAACAUAACCAGAAUGCCACAAGCCAGAUUCUGAUCCCCCACAAACCACUCAAGGGCUCUGCAACACCAUCAGUUUGACAUCUGUACUCUCCUACUCCAUCAGGAACCUGGGAUUUAUUAAUAAUUGUCUGGAGGAAUUGGAUUGAAAGUGCCAAGUCAAAUAUAUUUCAAUCUCUCUUUGACAGAAUGUAGGACUAAAAGAUUCUAAACAAUUUCUACUGAUUUGCUUUUCCUUUUAUAGUGGAAUUACAGCCACCAAAGCUCAGACUUUUUGAUACCUACAGAUCUGCAGUGUCAGAGUAAUGAGAACAGUAUGAAAUUUAGUAAGCAGCUUGUUUUGAAGGUAUCUAAAUGAAAUAACACAGGAAGCAAGCAGCACAAAAGAGCACAAAAAGCCCUGUUUUCAAAUAAAGGGUCUGGCCAUCAGCUUUUUAAGAAGCUGGACUUCAUUAGAGUCAACCAUUUCUACUCCUUGUGCUAGUAAAUGCCCCUACACAUCUCUCCAAUAACUACUGUGCUGGUCUUGAAAAUAAUUCUGUGCUUCUCUUCAGUUAGAAGGUGGCUGUUAAAAGGUGCAGCCAAAGAAUGAUCAUGCUGGAAGGUUCUUACCCACCUUCCACCCAGCCAUGUGGAACAGCACCAAGUCAGACUUGCAAAGGAUGUAUUAAAAACAAACUAAAACUAGUGCAAAAUCCAGGGAUUUAUGAUGCUGCUGAAUGAAGCCACAUAAAUAAUUCAGUAUUAAUAGGACUUUAAACCUUCCUAGAUGUACUGAACCUGAUAGAAAAUUAACUUCAGCACCUGACUUUUACUUCCAAAAAAGUAAUGUAUCUUUUUCCUUCCUUUCCUCUUGAAAUUGAUUCUCUUUCCUUCCUUUUACUAAACUGGUAAACUGCCAAAAUCCCCAGACUGGAGUCAUGGAUCAAUAGUCUGUAACCAUUCUGCAGCAGUGAUGUCCUUAAGGAGAAGGAAGGACCUCUCCUUGCUUUCAUUUCAAAUAUCCUGAAGCCUGCAGCAGACACCUUCUGAGCAAGCCAGAUCCAAGCACAUUCUCCUCAUGUGAAGGUUGUGCUUCAGUUCUGGAGAACACUGGGGAUGUUUAAGAAAAUAAAAGCCAAGCUGAAUGGCUCAAAAUACUUCCUACACCUGCAAAAUAAAAAUUUCACAUUUCUCCCUAUGACACCUGCUAUAUAAAGGAGGGUCAAAGAUUCAUGAGCAGGCAGACAGAAGCUUGGAGUUCCAAGAAAACACAGGAUAUUCUUGGAAAAUGAACUUGGGUUUAGUUCUGUGGCACAUUCAGAGGCAGCACGAAGUUGGAUGAGGAGCUGCCCUUUCAAACACUGUCUGUGAUGUACAAAGAGAUCCCAAACAACCCCAGAACUUGCUACUCCUUAGAGUUUCACACCUACAUGCACACACACACACUUUUUAUGAAUAGAUUUUUAUUUCUGGAGAGCUGCUAGAGAAGCCUGAUAGGGUGUGCUGGCACACUGUGACCCACAGGAUCAUCAGGCUUAGAAGGAAUCCCAAAUGGGUCAAGCCAAUCCAUCAUCUUCCUCCAGAGCAGAAGGGAGCUCAGCAUCCCUAAACUCCCCAAAAAGUGGUGUCAAACCUGCUGGGGCUGCUCAGCUGCCCUGGAACCUCACUGCACUGACCCUUCUCACAUGGCUUUUCCUAAGCCUUCUCUGCCCUUAUUGCCUAAUCAAAAUAAUUGGUCCCUGUCCUUUCUCUAACAGUCCUUAAAUGUGUUUGCAGACACUUGGAGUUUUCUUUUGGUCUAGACUGAGCGCAACCCUUGAGUUUUCCACAGGGAUUGCAAAGGUUGAUGAUCUCCCUGGGGCUGAGAGCAGGGCCUGGCCUCAGCAGGUAACAGCUGCUGGGAGGACUCAGCCAUCAACACAGCCCUGCCACUCACACCAACAGCUCCAAACAUUCCUCACAUUAGGGGGAAAUUUCAGUUUCUCCAGACACACCACCAUAACUUAUUUAUUGCUGCUCUGCCUCUGGAAGCUGUCUGCUCUUAAGAGAAGUACAUUUGAUUUUGCUA